This 370-nucleotide ribosomal RNA is filed under the name uncultured bacterium. Its description in RNAcentral is "bacterial SSU rRNA". It matches the Rfam family "Bacterial small subunit ribosomal RNA", at positions 207 to 566 of the family's 1533-position model. The record is from RNAcentral.
GCGCGCAGCUGUCACUUAGAUGAGCCGCGGCGCAUUAGCUAGUUGGUGGGGUAAAGGCCUACCAAGGCAAUGAUGCGUAGCCGAGUUGAGAGACUGAUCGGCCACAUUGGGACUGAGACACGGCCCAAACUCCUACGGGAGGCAGCAGUAGGGAAUCUUCCACAAUGGACGCAAGUCUGAUGGAGCAACGCCGCGUGAGUGAAGAAGGUCUUCGGAUCGUAAAGCUCUGUUGUUGGUAGAAGAAGGAUAGAGGCAGUACUGGUCUUUAUUGACGUAAUCAACCAGAAACGUCACGGCUAACUACGUGCCAGCAGCCGUAGGUAAUCGGUAGGUGGACAAGUCGUUGUCCGGUAUUUAGUUGGGACUAAGG